GCGUCCGUAGCUCAAUUGGAUAGAGCAUUAGUCUUCGGAACUAAGGGUUAGGGGUUCAAGUCCCUUCGGGCGCA
This 74-nucleotide transfer RNA is filed under the name Oscillatoriales cyanobacterium RM1_1_9. RNAcentral's name for it is "tRNA-Arg". It matches the Rfam family "tRNA". Rfam says of the family: Transfer RNA (tRNA) molecules are approximately 80 nucleotides in length. The record is from RNAcentral. Lineage: Bacteria; Bacillati; Cyanobacteriota; Cyanophyceae; Oscillatoriales; Oscillatoriaceae. RNAcentral also lists the same sequence under 2 other names.